UAUAAGGGAUUUUAAGUUUUUGCUUGCAACGUUUGACCACUCGUCUUAUGCAAGUUUUUUUUGAAAUUAUUAUUUAUUUUAUUUGUGACUUGCUUUAUUAUCUAUAGUACUUUAAGCACAACUUUUCGUUUUUUAUAUUUGUAAAAUUUUUUUGAAUAAGACGAGUGAUUAAACGUUGCAAGCAAAAAACUUAAA
RNAcentral lists this microRNA precursor (195 nucleotides) under Oryza sativa Indica Group (long-grained rice). RNAcentral's name for it is "MIR812 microRNA precursor family". It matches the Rfam family "MIR812 microRNA precursor family". Lineage: Eukaryota; Viridiplantae; Streptophyta; Magnoliopsida; Poales; Poaceae. The record is from Rfam by way of RNAcentral.